ACAGAUGAUAAUAGUGAUAGAUUAAAAAUAAAAGUGAAUUAUGAUGAAAAAAAUAACAAUAGUCAAUGGCGAUGUCAAUUGAGUGAUGAAAAAAAGAGCCUGAAAUAAUGAACAAAAUAAUGGGUUAAAAUACAUGCCAUCAAGAGUAUAAUAACAAAUUGCAAGGACACACGGAUAUUUAGUUUAAUGCCAAACAAUUCAAUUCUAUUAAUAAGCCAAAAAUUGUAAACCUGUAAUGGCAAUCAACAAAUUAGUGACAAAAGUUGAAUUACAUUCAUUAUGCCAGUUAGUCCUUGCCUAAUUGUAUCAUCAUCAUCAUAAUUACAAUGAUGAACAAAAGAGAAGCCAAAAUAAUGGUGAAAAAAAGUAACAUCAAAUUGAAUGUUUAACAUUGUUUCUUCCCAUCUCAAUGUUUCUUAAUGUUUACCAAGUGAAAGUUUGGUGAAAAGUAACCCUUUUUGUCCAUUUUUACAUUUACCUUUUCAAUGCAAACCUCCGAUUGGAAACUUGAUAUUGUAAUGUUUUAAGUUUCAACCAAAAUCUUUCACAAGUUGACCUCAACAAAGUUGUUCACUGUUGGUGUAAUCAUGAAAAAUUGUCAUAUUUUCUGUUCUCAUGUUAAGUAUUUGUGAAUUUCAUCAAUUCCUUGGGAUUAUUUAAACAGGUAGAUUAUUACUGUUGAUUGUUAUCCUCCUUGUGUGAAUAUUAAUGUGUGUAAACAUUAACCAUUGCUUUGCAAAGAGGAACCUUUCACUUUUGUUUUUUCCGUUUGUUUGCUUAAUUGUUGUUGAUUCUCGUUUACAAUUGUGACACAUUUAACCGUCAUCAAGACUCGAUGUGUGUCUCUCUUUGUGUGCAAAAAGACAACCAUAUUUGAUUGGAAACAGUAAAAAUCCCAACAUAAACCUGAUUAUUAGAAAGUUAUUGUUAAAACAAUCAACAGUGAAUAAGACGAAAAGAAGCAAAACAAUUGUGAGGCCAAGGCAGGUUUAGUCUUUCACCUUGACAUUUCAAUUAAAUUUUUCAAUCAACAAUAAAAUGAUCAACAAUUUAGUUUCUCGUUAAACUCUCAUCAUUUUGUUCAUUUAAUUUUGAUUCUCCAAGUUUCAAGUGAACCAUCAAAACAGUUAAUCAUUGCAACAAAUGAAACGCAAUUGUCACUCUUUCAUUCUGGUUCAUUUAUUUGAGAUUCAAUGGUCAAGUUUAGUUUUGUUUGUUAAAAUUGUUUAACCAAAGUGAACGGAUUCAGCAAACACCAAGGAAAAAUCAAUGAACGCUUAGACCAUCAAGUUUAAUAUCAAUGUAUAACAACAGUAAAGUGAUAAAUAAAUUUGCUCAAUGGUCAUUUAUGAUCAUUAAUCUUGUGCUAAUUAAUUGUGUUUUGACAAUUUGUUGCCAGGAAAGUUUAAAUGAUCCUCAAGUUACUCUGCAUUCAGGAAAAGCUCAGGGUAAAAAGAUGUUUACUCAAUCAGGAAAACCCUUUGCUGCAUUUCUUGGUAUACCUUAUGCUCUUCCACCUUUGGGUACCUUAAGAUUUCAGAGAUCUGUUCCUAUUCCUAUGUGGUGGGGCGUUAAAAGCUUUCAACAAUAUGGACCUGGAUGUCCACAGUACGAUUCCAGAGGAUCACUUUAUGGGAGUGAAGACUGUCUCUAUCUGAAUGUCUAUGUUUCCAUGGUAAAUAGACGGACUCCUCAACCAGGCUUGUUACCAGUUAUGGUCUAUAUUCAUGGUGAAAGCUUUGAGAAUGGCGAUGGUUCCAUUUACGGACCUGAAAAGUUAAUGGAGAAACAAAUUAUUUUGGUCACUUUCAGUUACAGAUUGGGAAUUUUAGGAUUCCUCAGCACAGAAGAUUCAGUUGCACCUGGAAAUUGGGGUCUAUAUGAUCAAAAACUUGUUCUUGAUUGGGUUCAAAAUAAUAUCAGAUAUUUUGGUGGUGAUCCUGGUAGAGUAACACUUUUUGGUCAAGGUUCAGGAGCAGCGUGCGUCUUUUUCCACCUUUUGUCUCCACUAAGUCAAGGUAAAUUUCAUCGAGCCAUUAUGCAAAGUGGUUCUGGUUUGUGUCAUUGGGCCAUGGAAAGACAGCCUCUUGAGUAUGCUAAAGAGAUUGCCGAAAAUACUGGUUGUCCCACAGUAACAUCUGCAGCACUUGUUGAUUGUCUCCAAAAGGUUUCUGUUGACAAGAUUUUAAAAGCACAAACACGAGGAAAGAUAUUUGGUGAAUUUCCUCAAAGAGCAGCUCCAACAAUUGAACGUUUUGGAACCAACCGUUUCCUUGAUCAGGAUCCACGAACCAUACUUAAUAAUUAUCCUUACAAAAGGAUUCCGGUGAUGAUUGGGAUGAAUAAGGAUGAAACGUCUUUCUUUUACCAAUUGAUAGUAUCACAUUUUUACUCCAAUUAUGGCGAGGAUCGGGAAAGAAAAUUGAUUGGCAAGUUUCUGGAGGCAGCAACACCAUUCAAAGGUUAUCGUAGAGAUCGUCUCAUACUACCAAUUUUAUCUCAAUAUUUUGAUUCCAUUGACACUAAUAAUGUAUCACAAUUCACUUCUGCAUUUGUCAAUAUGACAACGGAUGCCUUAUAUACAAGUUGCAUCGAUGAAACAGCCAAGCUACUUUGGGGCGCUGAAAUCCCGGUUUAUAUGUACCUAUUUGGUUAUAAAGGAUCAAACAGUAUGAUUAAAAUAUUACUCAAUAAUUCACCAACAGUCAUUGAUACUGGAGUUUGUCAUGGAGAUGAACUGUUUUACCUUUUCAAUCUUGAAAUGGACAAAUUUAGACCAACCAAUGUUAAAGAUUCCCUUGCAACACGCCUUUUAGUAGACCUCUGGACUGAUUUUGCUGCUUACGGGUUAGUUCAAUUAUUUAAUUAUCACCAAAUAAAACUCGAAAGAUGUGAAAUUUAACACAAACUAUAUCUACAAUUAAAAUCAAUGUUAAGUGGCACUUGAUUUAUGUUUACAUAAUCGUUGCGCACUUUUUAAACAGCUUCAUGUUUUUCAAUGUCAAUAGAGGGCAAUAGUUUUGAAUAAUUUAUUACCGUUAAAGAUGAUUUUUAAAAUAUCAAUUCAUUGAAAAACAUUUUCAUCUGAUUCUUGUUUAUUGAGUUAAUGACAAUCUCAGCUUUAAUCCGGCUUUUAAUACCUGCAGCCUUAGAAUGCCAUGAUCUAGUGAUUUAUUGGAGAUAAUCAACCAUUGAAAGAGACCGAAAAUUGAACCAGCCCAAUGAUUUUGAUCAGCUAUUUUAUUGAUGAAAAGUGAAUCUAUUAUGAAUCAUUUGCUGAUGGAAGAUGGCAAAUAUGAUGAUGGUGAUGGACAUGUUGGUCAACUAUCGACAGUGAAAGUAAAGAGUGAAAAAUAUUGUUCAACUGUAACUUAUCAUCAACUUUUGAAGCCACAAUGAAUAUACUACUUUUUUCUGGUUGGAAGAUUCAGUAAUAGUUUCUCGUCUGUUACAGAGUAUAUGAGAACUCUUGAUAAACAUCAUCAACUUGAUCAUUGAAUUUUGUGGAAAUGUAUUCCAUCAAGAUAAACCUGAUGAUGGCAAAGGUAGUAAAAAAGGAAAGGAAGAAAGUUAAAAAGUAUAAAUGAAGAUGUACCUCAACUUUUACUUAUUUGAAGGAGAUGAAAUUGAUGAAAAAAAACUAAAUGAAAAGUAUCAUUACUUCAAUUAUGAUUUCUCUCAAAAAAGGAAUUCAGUUUCACUCCCAAUAAUAGUUAUUUUUAUUUUUCCCUGACAAAGUAACUCCAUUUCAAAUUAUCAAAAGUAUAUAUCUCUACUUUCCUUCCUUUUUUUCUGAUGAUUCAAUUGACUUUCUCGUUGUUUCCAUCAUCAUCAUCAUCAUCAUCAUUAUCAAUCUGCAGUCAACUAUUUGUGGUAUACCUUCAACUCAAGGUAUGCACCUAAAGAGGAAAAGUAUGAUUAUCCAAGAUGGAAACCAUUUGAUCCAAUCAAGCUGAAUUAUUUAUUGAUUGAUUCACAAUUGAGUCUAGAAUCCAAUUUAAGGCAGGAGCAAGCUUACUUUUGGUCAGUUGGUUUACACAACAUAUCAACCAAUGGAGCAAUUUCACUGCCUAUUACAAGACCAAAUACAUCGGAAGUCUCUUACAAAACAUUGGCCUGGUCAAUGGUAGCUCUUUCAGCGACCCUUUUGAUUUUAAUUUUACUCCUUCUACUCGUCCUGUAUGUCCAACGACGAAGGCAAACCUUUGAAACCAAUUCCAUAGACAACAAUGGAAGUCAUAUAUCAGCAAGAUCUUCUAACUUUUAUUAGAUUUUUCUUGCCCUUAUCAACAAUUAUUACCACCAUCAACACCAAUUUUGUUAUCCAUUGUCAUUACCAUCAUUGUAAUAAGGUUUUAUUACCAGUUCAGUUUCAAUCCAUUUAAUAACCAUAAAACCAUGUUGAUAGUGACACUAUUUUCAUUUGCAAUUUUUACUUUGUUUUGUAAACCUUUCCACCUUUUUACUCCAUAAAAUACUUUAAUCAUUUCA
This is a non-coding RNA of Tetranychus urticae (two-spotted spider mite), 4491 nucleotides long. The record is from RefSeq and is a predicted model, not a curated record. NCBI's taxonomy places the organism in Eukaryota, Metazoa, Arthropoda, Arachnida, Trombidiformes, Tetranychidae.